This 356-nucleotide small RNA is filed under the name Pan troglodytes (chimpanzee). RNAcentral describes it as "processed transcript". Lineage: Eukaryota; Metazoa; Chordata; Mammalia; Primates; Hominidae. The record is from RNAcentral.
AAUGAGUGAGGCAAGACAGCCCUGAGGAUGGGGAAGGACAUGAUGGACGGAGAAGUCAGCCCAGGGCAGGGGCACAGUGGCUCAGCUUCUGAAACCAAAGAACAGAAAAGAGGGUCUCUUUCCCAUGGAUGAGGGGCCCAGCACCAUGGCCAGGGCCACAGCCACCUCAUGCCACACAGCAGCCAAACCAGGCCCCCCCACCGUCACAUAUCCCCUUCCACCAAGGUGUCCAGCCAGCACCGAUGCAAAGGAGCUGGUCCCAGGCCUUUCCCAGACCCACCGUGGUCCUGCCGGCCUCCCACAGGCGGCCUGUGAGCGCCAACAAGGAGAUGUUCUCGUUCGUGGUGGACGACGCC